GUGCAAUGGCAUAAGCCAGCUUGACUGCGAGCGUGACGGCGCGAGCAGGUGCGAAAGCAGGUCAUAGUGAUCCGGUGGUUCUGAAUGGAAGGGCCAUCGCUCAACGGAUAAAAGGUACUCCGGGGAUAACAGGCUGAUACCGCCCAAGAGUUCAUAUCGACGGCGGUGUUUGGCACCUCGAUGUCGGCUCAUCACAUCCUGGGGCUGAAGUAGGUCCCAAGGGUAUGGCUGUUCGCCAUUUAAAGUGGUACGCGAGCUGGGUUUAGAACGUCGUGAGACAGUUCGGUCCCUAUCUGCCGUGGGCGCUGGAGAACUGAGGGGGGCUGCUCCUAGUACGAGAGGACCGGAGUGGACGCAUCACUGGUGUUCGGGUUGUCAUGCCAAUGGCACU
Molecule: ribosomal RNA, 391 nt
Filed under: Salmonella enterica
Lineage: Bacteria; Pseudomonadati; Pseudomonadota; Gammaproteobacteria; Enterobacterales; Enterobacteriaceae
Description: partial 23S ribosomal RNA
Rfam family: Bacterial large subunit ribosomal RNA
Source: RNAcentral